RNAcentral lists this ribosomal RNA (365 nucleotides) under Clibanarius merguiensis. RNAcentral describes it as "partial 12S rRNA". The record is from RNAcentral. Lineage: Eukaryota; Metazoa; Arthropoda; Malacostraca; Decapoda; Diogenidae.
UGUUAUACUCAUUAUAAAAUUAGUAUUACCAGAUUAAUAAAAGAUAUGUGCUCUAAAUUCAAAGAAUUUGGCGGCUUUUUAAUCUUAUUAGGGGAACCUGCCCUUUAAACGAUAGUCCACGAAAGAUCUUACCUGCUUUAGUAGUUUGUAUACCGUCAUUUAGAUAACUUUUAUAAAAUAAGUUAUUGAGAAAGUUUGUGAACUAAGAUGUUAGAUCAAGGUGCAGCAUAUGAGCAGGUUAUGGUGGGUUACAAUAAGAUUCACUUAUAACGGAGAUUUUAUUGAAUAAUAUUCUUGAAGGUGGACUUUAAAGUAAAACUGAAUUAAUAAGGCAGUUUGAUUUUAGCUCUAAAUUGUGUACAAAU